CCCGUCACAUCAUGAAAGCCGUUUGCACCCGAAGUCCAUGUGUCAACCGCAAGGAGAUAGUGGCCGAAGGUGUGGAUGGUGAUUGGGAUG
This 90-nucleotide ribosomal RNA is filed under the name uncultured bacterium. RNAcentral's name for it is "partial 16S ribosomal RNA". It matches the Rfam family "Bacterial small subunit ribosomal RNA", at positions 1393 to 1482 of the family's 1533-position model. The record is from RNAcentral.